This 293-nucleotide ribosomal RNA is filed under the name Caribena versicolor. RNAcentral's name for it is "partial 12S ribosomal RNA". Lineage: Eukaryota; Metazoa; Arthropoda; Arachnida; Araneae; Theraphosidae. The record is from RNAcentral.
UCUUAUUUUUAAAGUAUUUAUAUCGCCGUCCCAAGGUUAAACUUAAAAAUUAAAUCAAAAAAACCCUCUUACUACGUCAGGUCGAGAUAAAGCCUAUAAAUAAGGGAGCCUAGUUACUCAUUUCUUUUAGCAAAUAUUACUUACCAAAAGAGUAAUUAUCAUAGGAUUUAAUAGUAAUUUGCAGGUAAUUUUUGUAAAUGAAAAAUUUUUAAGGUGUACAUAUCGCCCGUCACCCUCAUCCAAAGACGAGGUAAGUCGUAACAUAGUUAAUGUACUGGAAAGUGCAUUAAGGG